Molecule: transfer RNA, 76 nt
Filed under: Pseudocercospora pini-densiflorae CBS 125139
Lineage: Eukaryota; Fungi; Ascomycota; Dothideomycetes; Mycosphaerellales; Mycosphaerellaceae
Description: tRNA-Asn (GTT) (tRNA-Asn-GTT-1-1)
Rfam family: tRNA
About the family: Transfer RNA (tRNA) molecules are approximately 80 nucleotides in length. Their secondary structure includes four short double-helical elements and three loops (D, anti-codon, and T loops).
Source: RNAcentral
UAUCCCCCAUGGCGCAAUUGGCUAGCGCGUUCGACUGUUAAUCGGGAGGUUGAUAGUUCGAGCCUAUCUGGGUUAG